UGCGAAGGGGGCUAGCGUUGCUCGGAAUUACUGGGCGUAAAGGGCGCGUAGGCGGUUCGUUAAGUCCUGUGUGAAAUCCCCCGGCUCAACUGGGGAACUGCACAGGAAACUAGCGGGCUUGAGUUCGGGAGAGGGAAGCGGAAUUCCGGGUGUAGCGGUGAAAUGCGUAGAUAUCUGGAGGAACACCGGUGGCGAAGGCGGCAUCCUGGACCGGCAUUGACGCUGAGGAGCGAAAGCCAGGGGAGCAAACGGG
This 253-nucleotide ribosomal RNA is filed under the name uncultured bacterium. Its description in RNAcentral is "partial 16S ribosomal RNA". It matches the Rfam family "Bacterial small subunit ribosomal RNA", at positions 524 to 776 of the family's 1533-position model. The record is from RNAcentral.